RNAcentral lists this ribosomal RNA (492 nucleotides) under uncultured bacterium. RNAcentral describes it as "partial 16S ribosomal RNA". It matches the Rfam family "Bacterial small subunit ribosomal RNA", at positions 29 to 507 of the family's 1533-position model. The record is from RNAcentral.
AGUGAACGCUGGCGGUAGGCCUAACACAUGCGAGUCGAACGGCAGCACAGUAAGAGCUUGCUCUUACGGGUGGCGAGUGGCGGACGGGUGAGGAAUACAUCGGAAUCUACUUUUUCGUGGGGGAUAACGUAGGGAAACUUACGCUAAUACCGCAUACGACCUACGGGUGAAAGCAGGGGAUCUUCGGACCUUGCGCGAUUGAAUGAGCCGAUGUCGGAUCAGCUAGUUGGCGGGGUAAAGGCCCACCAAGGCGACGAUCCGUAGCUGGUCUGAGAGGAUGAUCAGCCACACUGGAACUGAGACACGGUCCAGACUCCUACGGGAGGCAGCAGUGGGGAAUAUUGGACAAUGGGCGCAAGCCUGAUCCAGCCAUACCGCGUGGGUGAAGAAGGCCUUCGGGUUGUAAAGCCCUUUUGCUGGGAAAGAAAAGCAGCAGGUUAAUACCCCGCUGUUCUGACGGUACCCAAAGAAUAAGCACCGGCUAACUUCGUG